This 515-nucleotide ribosomal RNA is filed under the name uncultured bacterium. RNAcentral's name for it is "bacterial SSU rRNA". It matches the Rfam family "Bacterial small subunit ribosomal RNA", at positions 70 to 579 of the family's 1533-position model. The record is from RNAcentral.
UGGUCUUAGCUUGCUAAGGCCGAUGGCGACCGGCGCACGGGUGAGUAACACGUAUCCAACCUGCCGUCUACUCUUGGACAGCCUUCUGAAAGGAAGAUUAAUACAAGGUGGCAUCAUGAGUCCGCAUGUUCACAUGAUUAAAGGUAUUCCGGUAGACGAUGGGGAUGCGUUCCAUUAGAUAGUAGGCGGGGUAACGGCCCACCUAGUCUUCGAUGGAUAGGGGUUCUGAGAGGAAGGUCCCCCACAUUGGAACUGAGACACGGUCCAAACUCCUACGGGAGGCAGCAGUGAGGAAUAUUGGUCAAUGGGCGAGAGCCUGAACCAGCCAAGUAGCGUGAAGGAUGACUGCCCUAUGGGUUGUAAACUUCUUUUAUACGGGAAUAAAGUGAGGCACGUGUGCCUUUUUGUAUGUACCGUAUGAAUAAGGAUCGGCUAACUCCGUGCCAGCAGCCGCGGUAAUACGGAGGAUCCGAGCGUUAUCCGGAUUUAUUGGGUUUAAAGGGAGCGUAGGCGGA